GACGGGACCCGCACAAGCAGCGGAGCAUGUGGUUUAAUUCGAAGCAACGCGAAGAACCUUACCAGGGCUUGACAUGCCGCUGACCGGUUUAGAGAUAGAUCUUUACCCUUCGGGGUACAGCGGACACAGGUGGUGCAUGGUUGUCGUCAGCUCGUGUCGUGAGAUGUUGGGUUAAGUCCCGUAACGAGCGCAACCCUUGUCCUUAGUUACCAGCACGUAAUGGUGGGCACUCUAAGGAGACUGCCGGUGACAAACCGGAGGAAGGUGGGGAUGACGUCAAGUCAUCAUGGCCCUUACGGCCAGGGCUACACACGUGCUACAAUGGUCGGUACAGAGGGUUGCCAAGCCGCGAGGUGGAGCUAAUCUCACAAAACCGAUCGUAGUCCGGAUCGCAGUCUGCAACUCGACUGCGUGAAGUCGGAAUCGCUAGUAAUCGUGAACCAGAAUGUCACGGUGAAUACGUUCCCGGGUCUU
This 474-nucleotide ribosomal RNA is filed under the name uncultured Pseudomonas sp. RNAcentral describes it as "bacterial SSU rRNA". It matches the Rfam family "Bacterial small subunit ribosomal RNA", at positions 916 to 1381 of the family's 1533-position model. The record is from RNAcentral. Lineage: Bacteria; Pseudomonadati; Pseudomonadota; Gammaproteobacteria; Pseudomonadales; Pseudomonadaceae.